UGAUCCUGGAUCAGAAUGAACGUUGGCGGCGUGGAUUAGGCAUGCAAGUCGCGCGAGAAACCAAUUAGCUUGCUAAGAGGUGGACAGCGGCGAAAGGGAGAGUAACGCGUGGUUACGUGCCCCGAGGUCCAGGAUAGCGUUGGGAAACCGGCGGUAAUACUGGAUGAUAUCUUCGGAUCAAAGGUGUGAUUCCGCCUUGGGAUCGGACCGCGUACUAUUAGCUUGUUGGUGGGGUAAUGGCCUACCAAGGCUGUGAUGGUUACCGGGUGUGAGAGCAUGGCCCGGCUCACUGGGACUGAGACACUGCCCAGACACCUACGGGUGGCUGCAGUCGAGAAUCUUCGGCAAUGGACGAAAGUCUGACCGAGCGACGCCGCGUGCGGGAUGAAGGCCCUCGGGUUGUAAACCGCUGUCAGUUGGAAGGAAGGGCCUGUGCAGAGCAGGUCUUGACCGAUCUUCAGAGGAAGGACGGGCUAAGUUCGUGCCAGCAGCCGCGGUAAGACGAACCGUCCAAACGUUAUUCGGUAUCACUGGGCUUAAAGCGUGCGUAGGCGGCCUGGAAGGUGAGAUGUGAAAGCCACGGCUCAACCGUGGAAUUGCGUUUCAAACCACCAGGCUUGAGGAAGACAGGGGUGUUGGGAACUUAUGGUGGAGCGGUGAAAUGCGUUGAUAUCAUAGGGAACACCGGUGGCGAAGGCGCAACACUGGGUCUUUUCUGACGCUGAGGCACGAAAGCUAGGGUAGCGAACGGGAUUAGAUACCCCGGUAGUCCUAGCCGUAAACGAUGAGCACUGGGUUGAGGGGACUUCCACAUCCUCUCGGCCGUAGCGAAAGCGUUAGUGCUCCGCCUGGGGAGUAUGGUCCCAAGGCUGAAACUCAAAGGAAUUGACGGGGGCUCACACAAGCGGUGGAGGAUGUCGCUUAAUUCGAGGAUACG
This 937-nucleotide ribosomal RNA is filed under the name uncultured organism. RNAcentral's name for it is "bacterial SSU rRNA". It matches the Rfam family "Bacterial small subunit ribosomal RNA", at positions 14 to 961 of the family's 1533-position model. The record is from RNAcentral.